Trifolium pratense (red clover) is the source of this 271-nucleotide long non-coding RNA. RefSeq lists it as uncharacterized. The record is from RefSeq and is a predicted model, not a curated record. NCBI's taxonomy places the organism in Eukaryota, Viridiplantae, Streptophyta, Magnoliopsida, Fabales, Fabaceae. The transcript has 3 exons.
AACUAGUUGACUUGACGGAGUUGUGUAGUACAAAAAUUAUAAACACAAGUAUUCAGUACUGUCUGUACAUGGCAAACCUUGGGCCCGCGUAUUAAAAUGGAAGAUGAGGCUACAACGAGUGGAAGAAGCUGGAAGAUGAGGUUCCUUGACCUGCAAUGGAAGAAAAGAAAAGAAAAAUGCUCUCAGACUACCAACAUUUCCAAAUUACACAAAGACUUCGUUCAAUAUUGAAGAAAAUAUAGUGUCAGUGUAAGGUAAGGAAUAAGGCAAA